UACGUAGGGUGCGAGCGUUAAUCGGAAUUACUGGGCGUAAAGCGCGUGUAGGCUGCGAUGUAAGUCAGGGGUGAAAUCCCGAGGCUCAACCUCGGAACUGCCUUUGAUACUGGAGAUCUUGAGUUCGGGAGAGGUGAGUGGAACUGCGAGUGUAGAGGUGAAAUUCGUAGAUAUUCGGAAGAACACCAGUGGCGAAGGCGACUUACUGGACACAUAUUGACGCUGAGGUGCGAAAGCGUGGGGAGCAAACAGG
Molecule: ribosomal RNA, 253 nt
Filed under: uncultured bacterium
Lineage: Bacteria
Description: partial 16S ribosomal RNA
Rfam family: Bacterial small subunit ribosomal RNA
Source: RNAcentral